GUCGAACGGCAGCGGGGUAGUGCUUGCACUACUGCCGGCGAGUGGCGAACGGGUGAGUAAUAUAUCGGAACGUACCGAGUAAUGGGGGAUAACCAAUCGAAAGAUUGGCUAAUACCGCAUACGUCCUACGGGAGAAAGCGGGGGAUCGCAAGACCUCGCGUUAUUCGAGCGGCCGAUAACUGAUUAGCUGGUUGGUGGGGUAAAGGCCUACCAAGGCGACGAUCAGUAGCGGGUCUGAGAGGACGAUCCGCCACACUGGGACUGAGACACGGCCCAGACUCCUACGGGAGGCAGCAGUGGGGAAUUUUGGACAAUGGGGGCAACCCUGAUCCAGCCAUGCCGCGUGUAUGAAGAAGGCCUUCGGGUUGUAAAGUACUUUUGUUAGGGAAGAAAAGGGAAGUGCUAAUACCACUUUUUGCUGACGGUACCUAAAGAAUAAGCACCGGCUAACUACGUGCCAGCAGCCGCGGUAAUACGUAGGGUGCGAGCGUUAAUCGGAAUUACUGGGCGUAAAGCGAGCGCAGACGGUUAUUUAAGCAGGAUGUGAAAU
RNAcentral lists this ribosomal RNA (550 nucleotides) under Eikenella corrodens. RNAcentral's name for it is "bacterial SSU rRNA". It matches the Rfam family "Bacterial small subunit ribosomal RNA", at positions 61 to 600 of the family's 1533-position model. Lineage: Bacteria; Pseudomonadati; Pseudomonadota; Betaproteobacteria; Neisseriales; Neisseriaceae. The record is from RNAcentral.